This 946-nucleotide non-coding RNA is filed under the name Gobiopterus lacustris (lacustrine goby). RNAcentral's name for it is "12S ribosomal RNA". It matches the Rfam family "Bacterial small subunit ribosomal RNA". The record is from RNAcentral. Lineage: Eukaryota; Metazoa; Chordata; Actinopteri; Gobiiformes; Gobiidae.
CAAAAGUUUGGUCCUGACUUUACUAUCAACUUUAGCUAAACUUAUACAUGCAAGUAUCCGCACCCCUGUGAAAAUGCCCUUAUCUUCCCCACAAAGAAAGGAGCUGGUAUCAGGCACGAUGACUAUCAGCCCAAGACACCUUGUAACUAGCCACACCCCCACGGGUAAUCAGCAGUAAUUAAUAUUAAGCAAUAAGUGAAAACUUGACUUAGUUAAAACCAAAAAGGCCGGCUAAACUCGUGCCAGCCGCCGCGGUUAUACGAGAGGCCUAAGUUGACAACAUGCGGCGUAAAAAGUGGUCAAUUGUAUAAAAAACUAAAGCUAAACACCCUCUUGGCUGUGAUACGCACCCGAAGGCAAGAGACCUGCUCACGAAAGUAGCUUUAAAUCUAAUUUUACCACGAAAGCUAGAAAACAAACCGGGAUUAGAUACCCCGCUAUGCCUAGCCCUAAACAUAAGUGUCUAACCACAACACCCACUUGCCAGGAAACUACGAGCCCCAGCUUAAAACCCAAAGGACUUGGCGGUGCUUAAGACCCACCUAGAGGAGCCUGUUCUAGAACCGAUAACCCCCGUUAAACCUCACCCUUCCUUGCCCCCCUCCGCCUAUAUACCGCCGUCGUCAGCCUGCCCCAUGAGGGCCCCAAAUCAGGCACAAUUGGACCACCCCCAAAACGACAGGUCGAAGUGUAGCAUAUGGAAGGGAUAGAAAUGGGCUACAUUCAGUGAUCCCCUGAAUACGGACAAUGUUUUGAAACAGACAUUUUAAGGAGGAUUUAGCAGUAAGGAGAAAACAGAGAGUCCUCCUGAAACUGGCCCUAAAGCACGCACACACCGCCCGUCACCCUCCCCAAAAGCCCCUCAAACUUAAAUAAAAAAUACCUUAAAAAAAGGGGAGGCAAGUCGUAACAUGGUAAGUGUACCGGAAGGUGCACUUGGAAAAAC